This is a long non-coding RNA of Pogoniulus pusillus (Red-fronted tinkerbird), 668 nucleotides long. RefSeq lists it as uncharacterized. The record is from RefSeq and is a predicted model, not a curated record. The transcript is spliced from 2 exons. Lineage: Eukaryota; Metazoa; Chordata; Aves; Piciformes; Lybiidae.
UGCUGGCUUCAUCUGAGAAUGAAGUGACUCAGCCUUGGUCUUGCAGAAUGGCCCCGGCAAGGGUGUCCCUGUGUGAGCAGUAGCAGCUCCCAGUGUCAGCUGUGGAGAUGGGGACUGGGACCAGGGCAUGCCCUGCCGUGUGCCCUUGUGUCCCAGGUGCUUUGCCUCCUCCCUGUGCCAUGGUACCAAAGCAGCUCCCACCCAUGGUGUUCCCCUGUUUCACUGGCUCCCCAUGUCCCUGGCUGUUCCUAACUCCAGAGAUUGUGUCACCAAAGCCCCCUUGUGCAGGCAGCCCAGCGCUGGGUCUGGGAGGUGGUGGCAGGAGCUGUGCCAGCCGCCGUCGCUGGCUUGUUUGCUUCAGUGCCAGUUCAUUAAUAUCAAAGAGCUAAUUAGGAUUCUGCAGCCCUUCCCACUCGGCCCUCUCCUUCGGAGGCUGGAGGAUACUUGUUGUCUGCAGGAUUUUGCUGCAGCCCUGUUAAAAGGAUUCAACCCUGCUCUGUCCCGGCCUGGAGGACUUUCAACAAAAUUUACCCAGAACUGGGGAUGCUGUCUCUGGGACAGGGCAGCGAUGUUGCUCCAUCUUGCUUCAGGUCCGGCAAAGAGCAGCCCAGGGUCUUACUUCCUGGAGGACGGCUUUGUCCCAUGGCAAAUACAAUCCACAAAAGAUC